GACGAACGCUGGCGGCGUGCUUAACACAUGCAAGUCGAACGGAAAGGCCCUGCUUUUGUGGGGUGCUCGAGUGGCGAACGGGUGAGUAACACGUGAGUAACCUGCCCUUGACUUUGGGAUAACUUCAGGAAACUGGGGCUAAUACCGGAUAGGAGCUCCUGCUGCAUGGUGGGGGUUGGAAAGUUUCGGCGGUUGGGGAUGGACUCGCGGCUUAUCAGCUUGUUGGUGGGGUAGUGGCUUACCAAGGCUUUGACGGGUAGCCGGCCUGAGAGGGUGACCGGCCACAUUGGGACUGGGAUACGGCCCAGACUCCUACGGGAGGCAGCAGUGGGGAAUAUUGUACAAUGGGCGGAAGCAUGAUGCAGCAACGCCGCGUGCGGGAUGACGGCCUUCGGGUUGUAAACCGCUUUCGCCUGUGACGAAGCGUGAGUGACGGUAAUGGGUAAAGAAGCACCGGCUAACUACGUG
Molecule: ribosomal RNA, 468 nt
Filed under: uncultured bacterium
Lineage: Bacteria
Description: partial 16S ribosomal RNA
Rfam family: Bacterial small subunit ribosomal RNA
Source: RNAcentral